GAUUGUGCCUGGUCCUGAACGAGGCUCUAUGGAGACCCAAAGAAUAACAGCUCAAGGGCUCACAAUCUAGCAGGGCAGUGAGAACUGAAAAAACAAACAAAACUCCUUCCUACCCUGACAAAUGCUCUAAUGGGGACACACACAAGAUGUUCAAGAUCCUGGGGAAGCAAAUGACAUUGCUUAAGAAAGCCUUCCCAUGAUGCCCAGAAGAGGUAACCACCUGCUUCUUGUUACAAAGGACAGAUUUAUGGAGUUAGAAGAGAACUUAGCAUCCUAUCCAGAAUCUCCUGAGAAGAGUAAAGAUCAAACAUUUGGAAAAGCUUGGUUUUGCAGGUCUCAUUUCUUAGAGGAUAGUGGGCUAACAUGGGAGCUGACAUUUUGGAAUAAUUGCUCACCAGAAAACAAGGACUGGUUGCUAAAGUUGAAAUAAUGGGAACCCUCAAAGGAAGAUUUCACCUC
This is a long non-coding RNA of Lutra lutra (Eurasian river otter), 459 nucleotides long. RefSeq lists it as uncharacterized. The record is from RefSeq and is a predicted model, not a curated record. The transcript has 2 exons. Lineage: Eukaryota; Metazoa; Chordata; Mammalia; Carnivora; Mustelidae.